Molecule: unclassified non-coding RNA, 1839 nt
Filed under: Hevea brasiliensis (rubber tree)
Lineage: Eukaryota; Viridiplantae; Streptophyta; Magnoliopsida; Malpighiales; Euphorbiaceae
Source: RNAcentral
UAAUUUUGCACAUAUAGAUUUCAUGCUCAAAUACCAAUCAAUUUGUUACUUUAAUUUUAAGAAUAUUUCAAUUUACUCAACUUUUUAUAUCAAAAAUUCAAUCAUUAACACAACUCCUCGUGGGAUCGAUAUUUUUCUAUACUACUUGUACGACCCGUGCACUUGCGGUUGGGCCACAUCAAUGAUCAAUCACAGCAAGCAAGGAAAUGAACCUAGCAGAAGAAGCUGCCAAAGCGGCGUCUGGUGACAUUAACAACUACGGGGUGGUUUUGUUUCUUUUGCAGUAUAUCACUUUGUUUUGGCACCUUGACAAGCAGAAGGCCAUUGCUAAAGGAAGUAGUGGUCAAUCUCCACAUUCACAUUGUAUGGCAAUUGACAGCUCUUUUUGCAAUUUGGACGACUACCACCAGUAAUCAGCAAGACAUUUCUGCCUCUGAUCUCAACCUUCACGUCUUCAGUCUUCAGUCCCUGCAGGUUUGCCGUGACAACGAAGGUUGUUUCUUGCCAAUACAUCUGAAAAAAAAGUGAAACCAACCCCAUUAAAAAUAAUGCUAAUUAAAAGAAUGCAUCAUUAGUUAUUAGAUUAUCGUCACAAACUGUGAUGGAGAAGGGAUCACUGAAGCCAAACAGAUUGCUGAAACUGCUUGAAUUGAGAUUAUUGCUUGCAUUCAAACAGCUGCUUUCGCCAAAACCACUUGGAAUCAUCGACAUUCCUGAAAGAGAUUGAACACAAAACUUUGAUCAAAACCCCUUUAGUUAUUAAUAGACAUUAAGAGAAAGGAGAGAAACAGAGAAUACACUUGAAUCUGCUGAUCAGGUAUUGCGCCGCUCUCUUUGAUUUGCCAGGUAAGUGCACAGUUGAACAUUAUUUAUAGUGGACGCUUAUGAUCAUUAAAUUAAUUAAUCUUGUUUAAAAUAUGAUGAUAAAUGCUUUAUUAAGAAAAUUAUGAAGAGGGGAAGAAACAAAUAAUUUCUAUAAAAUGCAUGGCCUUCUAUAGAAACAAGAUUGAAAUUGGACCCGAGAAUGGCACAUGCGUGCAUCUAUCGCUAGUCUAAACUUUUAAAAUUAUGUUAAUUAGGUUUUGUCUACAAGUUUUUAAUCCUGUUUUAUAUUCAUUUUCUUUAAGAAAAAGACUAAUCCAUAAAUUUUUAAAAUAAAAAAAAAAUUGCAAAUAACAAUUCUGUACGUAACUCUUAUGAUCAACUAUGAAAACACACAUUUUAGAAUCCCAUGAGGAAAAGAGCAUAUAUGGCAAAUAUGAUUAUGGAAUGGAUGAGUGUCAGUCGAAAGCUGAACUGCAUAUCCACAAUACAAAAAAUGGAGCUAGCUAGAACACAUAUCUUCUACUUCUCUAUCAAUUCACGACAAGAAAACAAAAACUAUACUAUGUAAAUUAAUUUCUCUUUUGUAUUUUUCCUUGUGCUUUAAUUUUCAGAAGUAAACAAACCAUCUGAGAGUCUAGUUGAUAGCAGUUGCCAUAAAAGGCAUAUGAUGUGUCUCCGCUCUCCACAGCUGAACUUAACAACCCUUCAUUAAAUAUAAUGAAAGAAAGCAACCUUCAACUUCAAGGGUCAUUUUCCAUCUAGCUUUGGAAGGUCAAAUGUUAAUGGCUGAUGCAUGCACUGCCUUUCGCUGGAAAAACAAAAUCAAGUGUCAUGAAAUGUCUCACGUUAAUCGAUCACAUGAAAGAAUCAAAUCAAAGAAGCAAGAAAUUGUCAGAGAAAUAUGAAAUGUGUUCUUAUUUGAAGAUUUAGAGUGUAUCAGAUGAUAAGGCAAAGGUAUCCUUCUUCUUCAUCCCCAGCCACAAGUUUCACAUCCCUCAACUUGUUGCAGACGAG